RNAcentral lists this ribosomal RNA (459 nucleotides) under uncultured bacterium. Its description in RNAcentral is "partial 16S ribosomal RNA". It matches the Rfam family "Bacterial small subunit ribosomal RNA", at positions 338 to 795 of the family's 1533-position model. The record is from RNAcentral.
CCUACGGGUGACAGCAGUGAGGAAUAUUGGUCAAUGGCCGAGAGGCUGAACCAGCCAAGUCGCGUGAGGGAAGACGGCCCUACGGGUUGUAAACCUCUUUUGUCGGGGAGUAAAGCGAGUCACGUGUGACUCAUUGUGAGUACUCUAUGAAAAAGCAUCGGCUAACUCCGUGCCAGCAGCCGCGGUAAUACGGAGGAUGCGAGCGUUAUCCGGAUUUAUUGGGUUUAAAGGGUGCGUAGGCGGAGGUGUAAGUCAGCGGUGAAAUUGCGGGGCUCAACCCCGUACUGCCGUUGAAACUGCAUCCCUUGAGUGCGCGAGAAGUAUGCGGAAUGCGUGGUGUAGCGGUGAAAUGCAUAGAUAUCACGCAGAACUCCGAUUGCGAAGGCAGCAUACCGGCGCGCAACUGACGCUCAUGCACGAAAGCGUGGGUAUCGAACAGGAUUAGAUACCCUGGUAGUC